UACGUAGGGUGCAAGCGUUGUCCGGAAUUAUUGGGCGUAAAGAGCUCGUAGGCGGUCUGUCGCGUCGGCUGUGAAACCCGGAGGCUCAACCUCCGGCCUGCAGUCGAUACGGGCAGACUAGAGUUCGGUAGGGGUGACUGGAAUUCCUGGUGUAGCGGUGAAAUGCGCAGAUAUCAGGAGGAACACCGGUGGCGAAGGCGGGUCUCUGGGCCGAUACUGACGCUGAGGAGCGAAAGCGUGGGGAGCGAACAGG
This 253-nucleotide ribosomal RNA is filed under the name uncultured bacterium. RNAcentral describes it as "partial 16S ribosomal RNA". It matches the Rfam family "Bacterial small subunit ribosomal RNA", at positions 524 to 776 of the family's 1533-position model. The record is from RNAcentral.